UACAGAGGUGGCAAGCGUUGUUCGGAAUUACUGGGCGUAAAGGGCGCGUAGGCGGCCUUCUAAGUCAGACGUGAAAUCCCCCGGCUUAACCUGGGAACUGCGUCUGAUACUGGGAGGCUUGAGUAUGGGAGAGGGAUGUAGAAUUCCAGGUGUAGCGGCGAAAUGCGUAGAUAUCUGGAGGAAUACCGGUGGCGAAGGCGGCAUCCUGGACCAUAACUGACGCUGAGGCGCGAAAGCUAGGGGAGCAAACGGG
Molecule: ribosomal RNA, 253 nt
Filed under: uncultured bacterium
Lineage: Bacteria
Description: partial 16S ribosomal RNA
Rfam family: Bacterial small subunit ribosomal RNA
Source: RNAcentral